UAAAUACUGUAAUUUAUACUUGGCCAUAAAGGUUUUCACUUUCUCACUGAUACUGUUGGCAGCAGUAGGCAGACAGAACAAUAGCAAUGGUACAAAAAAAGUGAUAUUUUCAAUAGCGCUUCCAAAAUACCCUCC
Long non-coding RNA from Thalassophryne amazonica, 135 nucleotides. RefSeq lists it as uncharacterized. The record is from RefSeq and is a predicted model, not a curated record. NCBI's taxonomy places the organism in Eukaryota, Metazoa, Chordata, Actinopteri, Batrachoidiformes, Batrachoididae. The transcript is spliced from 3 exons.